ACGAACGCUGGCGGCGUGCUUAACACAUGCAAGUCGAACGGUGAAGCGCCUUCCUUUUUGGUGGGUGUGGAUGAGUGGCGAACGGGUGAGUAACACGUGAGUAACCUGCCCCCUUCUUCUGGAUAACCGCAUGAAAGUGUGGCUAAUACGGGAUAUUCUGGGUCUGUCGCAUGAUGGGUCUGGGAAAGAUAUUGUUUCGGUGGGGGAUGGGCUCGCGGCCUAUCAGCUUGUUGGUGGGGUGAUGGCCUACCAAGGCGGUGACGGGUAGCCGGCCUGAGAGGGUGGACGGUCACACUGGGACUGAGACACGGCCCAGACUCCUACGGGAGGCAGCAGUGGGGAAUAUUGCACACUGGGCGCAAGCCUGAUGCAGCGACGCCGCGUGAGGGAUGGAGGCCUUCGGGUUGUGAACCUCUUUCGCCAGUGAAGCAGGCCUGCCUCGUUUGUGGGUGGGUUGACGGUAGCCGGAUAAGAAGCGCCGGCUAACUACGUG
RNAcentral lists this ribosomal RNA (493 nucleotides) under uncultured bacterium. Its description in RNAcentral is "partial 16S ribosomal RNA". It matches the Rfam family "Bacterial small subunit ribosomal RNA", at positions 29 to 507 of the family's 1533-position model. The record is from RNAcentral.